Long non-coding RNA from Ictidomys tridecemlineatus (thirteen-lined ground squirrel), 909 nucleotides. RefSeq lists it as uncharacterized. NCBI's taxonomy places the organism in Eukaryota, Metazoa, Chordata, Mammalia, Rodentia, Sciuridae. The record is from RefSeq and is a predicted model, not a curated record.
GGCAACACCCCAGAGCAGCCACAGAGACAGGACUGAGCACCAGGCUGAGCUCAAAGCCAUCUCCCCGCGGACAUCCAACAGCGUUUUCCGGGACUCUGGAACUGUUGGUCUUCUCGGGUCCCCACGGGGUGCGCUGCUGUCUGGCGCCCCGGAGGAGGUUUUGGUUCAAGAACCUACAGAUGGACGGAGCUUAAAGCCCAGCAUCAAAAGACGGGACUGGGGGUGCGACCCGCCAGCGCGCUCCGCGGCCAGGACGGAGGACUGCGCUCGCUCUUCUGGCUUCCUUCCCACACUCAUUCUCACCACUCCCUUUCACCUUCCACUUCCAGUCCCUCCCACUCCAAGUUGGCUUUUCAGACACUGAGGUCCAGCCUCUCCUUGUGGCCUCCCCUCCCCUCUCAGUUUGGAGCCCCUCCAAGGGCUCCAGAUGAAUAUUCAGAAUUUGCAAUGCUUCCUCACAUCUCUUAUUUAUUUAGUCCAGGUGCCAGAUGUCUUAUCUAUAUUUAUAUAGAUCUUUUAUGUGGCCCCAGCUACUUUGCAGGAAAGUGGGUGGAAAAAGGAUUCCAGGGGUGGGAGCCAGUGGUAGAUGAUCCUAGGAGACAGAGGGGCAGGGUGCCCACUUUCUUGAGCAAGGUUUGUCAUUUUCUAGAGAUGGACUGCUAUGCUUUGUGCUAGUAUCUUGUCUUGACUCUUGCCCACCACCCUGCUUCUUCCUAGCUGUCUUCACCCAGAGGGCUUGGGAGAAGAAUAUCUUUUGCUGCAGCACUGGAAAAUGACUUCAUUACUCAAAUGCAUGAACUUUUAUUUACAAAGAACAUCUUGUUUUCAUCCUAAAGAGGUGCUUUGUAAGGGACCCGGAACAAGGCUUGUAGUGUAUGAGCUUGUCAAAUAUACUGCCCACAAACCCGA